This 239-nucleotide unclassified non-coding RNA is filed under the name uncultured fungus. Its description in RNAcentral is "sequence contains ITS2". The record is from RNAcentral. Lineage: Eukaryota; Fungi. RNAcentral also lists the same sequence under 1 other name.
AACGCACAUUGCGCCCUUUGGCAUUCCGAAGGGCAUGCCCGUUCGAGCGUCAUUACACCACUCAAGCCUGGCUUGGUAUUGGGCGACGGGACCUCCCCGCGCCUUCAAUUCAUCGGCUGGACGGUUCGAAUCUCAGCGUUGUGGUUUCAUCAAAUCGCUGGCGAGGACGACCGGACGUCGCCGUUAAACUCUCAUCACAGGUUGACCUCGGAUCGGGUAGGGAUACCCGCUGAACUUAA